CGCGUCUGGGUCGUCCUGAGGAGACACUCUCCAGGGUCCGCGCCGGAGAGGCAGGGACGAGCGCAGGCCAGGCGGUGCCGGUGCGUCCCGGGGCAGCGUGUUUCCGAGAGGCCGUUAGCAAGGAUCCGAGUCAGCAGGAUGCUCCGCGUGGGCUUUACAGUCCAGUUCAGGUUCCUUUGAAAAAGAUGCGUCUCCCCAUCCUUCAAGGUCCCAGGAGGUUGAUGUCCCAGGAGACACACGACCCAGCUGCCUGCAGAAGCUCAGCAAUCCCUAAGGACUUGUUGGAAAUGGUUACCAUGAGACUUUCCUUCUUCACACACAACAAAGAAAAAAAAAUUAGAGUGGGAAUGGGGUUGAGAGGAGUAUGAGAAAUAUAUUUCCUGGUCUGAAUAAGAUUUUUUUCCACAGAGGAGGUAGUUAGAAAAGAAGAUACAAAAUGGGCAUUUCUUUUUGGAUAUGUCUCCUUAAAGGAAGUCAGCAGAUCUUGCACAGGUAAGAGGUGUGUGUGUGUGUGUGUGUGUGUGUGUGUGUGCGCGCGUGCGCGCGCGCACGUGCGUGUACAUAGGCAGGAAGUGUGGUAUGUGCUUUCUCAUGUAUGAGGAUGGCACAGUGAUGUCAACCUUACUGGCCAAGCCAGACUCUAGCAGCCUUUGGCUACAUCUUUCUUCUAAGCCUUCUCUUUCAUCCACAAUUAAGUUUCCCAUAGAUGUCUUGUUCUGAUUUAGAUUGCUUUUAUCUGAGAACUUCUCUAUCCUCGCCACUACCCACAGGUGCAGGAACCUCACCCUCUCUCCAGGUUGCUACUGUGCACCCUGCCCUGGCGGAGCACAAGUUUUAAUCCUCAAAUAAUACUGUAAGUGGUGUUCAAACAAAAAUCAGAAGGCCUGUGGCGUAUUUAAG
Molecule: long non-coding RNA, 900 nt
Filed under: Microcebus murinus (gray mouse lemur)
Lineage: Eukaryota; Metazoa; Chordata; Mammalia; Primates; Cheirogaleidae
Description: lncRNA (ENSMICG00000048764.1)
Source: RNAcentral